This 497-nucleotide ribosomal RNA is filed under the name uncultured bacterium. Its description in RNAcentral is "partial 16S ribosomal RNA". It matches the Rfam family "Bacterial small subunit ribosomal RNA", at positions 28 to 507 of the family's 1533-position model. The record is from RNAcentral.
GAUGAACGCUGGCGGCGUGCCUAAUACAUGCAAGUCGAGCGAACGGACGAGAAGCUUGCUUCUCUGAUGUUAGCGGCGGACGGGUGAUUAACACGUGGAUAACCUACCUAUAAGACUGGGAUAACUUCGGGAAACCGGAGCUCAUACCGGAUAAUAUUUUGAACCGCAUGGUUCAAAAGUGAAGGACGGUCUUGCUGUCACUUAUAGAUGGAUCCGCGCUGCAUUAGCUAGUUGGUAGGGUAACGGCUUACCAAGGCAACGAUGCGUAGCCGACCUGAGAGGACGAUCGGCCACACUGGGACUGAGACACGGCCCAGACUCCUACGGGAGGCAGCAGUGGGGAAUUUUGGACAAUGGGGGCAAGCCUGAUCCAGCCAUGCCGCGUGCGGGAAGAAGGCCUUCGGGUUGUAAAACGCUGUUGUUCGGGAAGAAAACCUCUGGGCUAAUACCCCGGGGGGAUGACGGUACCGGAAGAAUAAGCACCGGCUAACUACGUG